UCCCUGGUGGUCCAGUGGUUAGGACUCCGCACUGUCACUGCCAGGGCCUAGGUUCGAUCCCUGGUCGGGGAA
Molecule: non-coding RNA, 72 nt
Organism: Orcinus orca (killer whale)
Lineage: Eukaryota; Metazoa; Chordata; Mammalia; Artiodactyla; Delphinidae
Source: the annotation of a RefSeq genome assembly